AGUGAACGCUGGCGGUAGGCCUAACACAUGCAAGUCGAACGGCAGCACAGUAAGAGCCUGCUCUUACGGGUGGCGAGUGGCAGACGGGUGAGGAAUACAUCGGAAUCUACUUUUUCGUGGGGGAUAACGUAGGGAAACUUACGCUAAUACCGCAUACGACCUACGGGUGAAAGCAGGGGAUCUUCGGACCUUGCGCGAUUGAAUGAGCCGAUGUCGGAUUAGCUAGUUGGCGGGGUAAAGGCCCACCAAGGCGACGAUCCGUAGCUGGUCUGAGAGGAUGAUCAGCCACACUGGAACUGAGACACGGUCCAGACUCCUACGGGAGGCAGCAGUGGGGAAUAUUGGACAAUGGGCGCAAGCCUGAUCCAGCCAUACCGCGUGGGUGAAGAAGGCCUUCGGGUUGUAAAGCCCUUUUGUUGGGAAAGAAAAGCAGCAGGUUAAUACCCCGCUGUUCUGACGGUACCCAAAGAAUAAGCACCGGCUAACUUCGUG
RNAcentral lists this ribosomal RNA (492 nucleotides) under uncultured bacterium. Its description in RNAcentral is "partial 16S ribosomal RNA". It matches the Rfam family "Bacterial small subunit ribosomal RNA", at positions 29 to 507 of the family's 1533-position model. The record is from RNAcentral.